UUCAGAUUCAGAUUGGAUUAUAUCACCAGCUUUCCUGGGUCUCCAGCUUAUAGAUGGCAGAUCAUGGGACUUCUCAGCCUCUACAAUCAUCACAACUCAAGAGGUGGGAUCUCUUCACUUGCAAGUAACUGAUGUAUUCAACUGCUAAAAUGAUUGCAUUACAGACAACUGGAGCCGAAGCUGGAAAUUGGAGGGAGCAAAGUACCUGAAUUCCACUUGGGCAACUGUAAACACCAGAAGCUCCUAAGAUCGGAGCUUAUUAUCAUAAUCAUCUCGAAGGAUGGCUUCCAUCGGAAAGUUCAACAUUUUUUUUAGCACGUUGUAGGUAGGGAUAGGGGGGUGGAGUCAGCCUAGAUUUUGAGGCCACUUAACAAAGAAAACCCAAUCUCUUUCGUCGCCCCCAUGUCUCUCAGGGCACCUGGGCGCUCUGGGAUGCUACAGAUCCCAUCCGCAGGCCUUGCCCUAGGCCAGCUAACCUUGAGUCCUGUACGAUGCUGUCCACUGUGGGACGUGUGACUGGAGAGCCUGCUGGCACGAAAACCAUCACACAUUCAGCAGUGAGCAAUUUCUGCAGGAACCGGAAGGGAGCAAAGAGGCAGCGUGCGGUAAAGUUGGGUCUCUAGGCAAGUCUCCAUCACGAUUUUAUAGAAUCGAUCUUAUAUUUGAGCAUGUAAAGAGGACAUAGCCAAAAAGUAAACACAAUUUACAAUGCUAAAAACUGGAGAGGGGCGCCUGGGUGGCUCAGUCGGUUAAGCGUCCGACUUCGGCCCAGGUCACGAUCUCAUGGUCCGUGAGUUCGAGCCCCGCGUCGGGCUCUGUGCUGACAGCUCAGAGCCUGGAGCCUGCUUCGGAUUCUGUGUCUCCCUCUCUCUCUCUGCUCCUCCCCCGUUCAUGCUCUGUCUCUC
Molecule: long non-coding RNA, 905 nt
Organism: Panthera uncia (snow leopard)
Lineage: Eukaryota; Metazoa; Chordata; Mammalia; Carnivora; Felidae
Exons: 3
Source: RefSeq, a predicted model, not a curated record